This 2826-nucleotide long non-coding RNA is filed under the name Strigops habroptila (Kakapo). RNAcentral's name for it is "lncRNA (ENSSHBG00005005878.1)". The record is from RNAcentral. Lineage: Eukaryota; Metazoa; Chordata; Aves; Psittaciformes; Psittacidae.
AAACGUAUCUGCACAAUAAGAAAAAGAAAAGCAAAAUCUUACAUAUCACCAAUCCUGUAACAGUCUUCUGAACAAGUGAUAGUUUCUUCUUUUUUCCCCCCUUGUAAAAGUGAUCACCUGUAACCUACCAAAAUCUCUGCAGGUCCCUUGUGGGCUCCCCCAAAGCCCCAAGCACUGACAGUCAGUGUGCCUGGCAAAGGUGCUGUGCUGCAGGCUCCAAAUACCAAAUACCACGUGAGGAACGGACAAGGAUGCCAGCGUGCACAGAUGCAGUUCCCAUGCCCUGGAACAAAGAAAACAAGUCGUUAGUAUGCACCACGCAGCACCAAAGGCUGAGCCCGCUGCUAGUAAGUGCUAUGCAGAGGGUUCAGGUCAUGGUUUUGCUAAAUUCUGUGCUCUUGGUACACCUGGGAAACGCACCACCAAAAUGCAGCUCAGCUCACAUAGCCGUCUAAGUGCAGCAUGUUGUAACUGAGGUGCUGGGGCAGGUGCCUCUGAGCCAUCAGUGAGGUAUCUGCCCCUCCAUGUCAAGUGGUUUGUUACGACUGGAAAGUGCAAGGAAGUCUUCAUGGGGCUGGUAGGCUUCCAUUGCACCUGCUCUGCUGCUGGGACAGGGGUCUUGGGGCAGGAUCCAACGCCUUAGCGCUGGUGGUUCACAGUGGUCCAUAACAGUUCCCAGUAAGUGCCUGAAUGCUACGGCAUGCAGCAGAGGGACAAAUAGGAGGUGUUAGAGGUCCUGGGCUGGGAUCACAGCAACAAGAUGCACUAGCUCGGGGCAGUGGGUCAGCUGCCAUGGAUGGAACCAGCUCUUCAGGAAGGAUGGGCCAGGACAUCAAGGAGAGAGAGCAACUGAGGUGCAUGGAGCUGUGCCUUGGGACAUACGAUGGGCCAGCUGGAAGUUAUGGGUCACAAUUAGAGGGCGGCUUAUGGUAGGUGACAUGAUGGUGGGUGUCUGCUACAGGCCACUUUAUCAGGAAGAAGUAGACAAGGCAAAAAAAUGGAAGAAGCCUCAUGCUCACAGGCCAUCAAGGGUCAGAGCACUGAAGUUACACCAAGCACUGCUAAUGAAGUAGCAGAACACAUAAAUACACCACAAAAUGCUCCUGGUAGAUCCUGGCUUGGCUCUAUCUACCUUAAAAGGUGGCUCUCAUCCACUGCAUAAGCAUUCUGUUGCCUCUGAGAGGAUGGUGUGCACUACCUGUAUAGCAUAGAUCUCUUCAGCAGUCUCCAAGAGGGGUUUUUUGUUUUCUUGCAUCCUAUCACAAUGUUCUGCAGCAGAAAGCAGGUUUCUGGCCUCUCCAGCCUUAUACUGCUGAUCACAGUUUGAUGCCCUGAAUGUGUGAUGUAUGCAAACAGGACACGCUGACCGCAAAUUCUGGGAAAGUGUUUCUUUUCAUAGGGGCAAAAACAAGGCUGUAUGUGUAGGAGGUGUGUGUGCAUACACCUGCAAAAGUUCCCCCAUGUUUCCAGGGUAUAUAGUACUCUAUUUCAAAAGCCUUCACCUGCCAUAUAUCCUCAUAUGUCUGAAUAGAAAGAAAGGGGAUUGAAAAAACUUUGUUAGCUACUAUAAAAGGAAAAAAUUACUGUAAUAACAUAGAUGUUUCACUCCUUGAGUGAAGGAGGCCUUCAGGAUGGAGAUACUCACCUGUAAGACAAUACAUUUUCACUGGUGAUAAAAGACAAGGUUGGAGCUUAAUGGGGAAUAGUAGUACCCCCAAUACCAUGCUUCCCCAUUCCCACCUCUGCGGCAGGAAUUUCUUUGAUUUUGUUACAGCCAGAGUCCUCUAUAUCACAGAAGAUGGCAGGCAGAGCCAGUUGUGCCUCAGUAUAGGAACAGCCUUUACAUGCUUUUACGGAGAUGUGCUAGUUCCCUCAGGAUCUCUGAAAAGAUCACGCAGCAAUCAAAGUCCUAUGGUAUGUUCUAGGGAUGCGGAACUAUUUCUAGAGAAUUUGAUGGAGGAAUUUUAAUAUAUUGGGAACAGCCUAUAACUUCAAACAGAAAUUAGGACCUUUAGUUUUCUUUAAACUGUAUAGCAAACUGCUCAGAUUCAGUGAGUGCCUUGGGGUCUUGCCUCACAACACUCUUACCCACACCUACAUAAUACCAAUGCUUUGCUUAUUCUGUACUUCAGUAACUUAAUUACAUGAUGAAUUCUCCCAUGCUGCAAAUUCUAUCUUCAUUGAGCUAACUCUGAUAAAGGCAAGGCAGAUCCAGUCUAUCCAAUCUGCAAGUGGUAGCCUCAGAAGACAGGGAUACAGCACAUCUAUUACUCUGCCUUCCAGGAGCUUUGGCCUCAACAAACACAUUUGAGGGACCUAGCUGUGGUAUCCUGGCUGCCUAUCACAGCUCAUCUACUUGGAUGACAUUUUACCUAUUAGCAAGGUAAUAUACUACUUUCAGGAGAUGCCAGAAAAGGAUGGGUUUAGAUCUGCAACUAGCUAAGCUCUGUUAAAAUGGCUUUCUUCUGACACUGAACAAUUUCAUAAAGCAUCUUGAUUUUCUCUGUAUAAAAGUGACUCAUGAUCAGACACUCCCUUGUAUGGAAACCAAACAAUUUGUCUUCCAACAUCAGCAAAAACAAGUAUAUAUUUCUAAGGAGACUGUCCUCUUUGGAGGCUGCUCUGAUAUUGAUGACAUUAAGGAAUCUCUGUUUCACUUGCUAGUUACACUUGGGGCAAUGACCAUCUUCUUCUGUGUUUUCCAAUGUCUAGAACAAGGGGCAUCUGAGCCAUAGCCAAGGUUACUUGGCACUGGGCACUGCACUGUAGUACUGCAGUAAGUGUCAAAAAAGCCUGGCACUUUGUUUUGUUGGCAGUUUCAAAGCC